Molecule: Y RNA, 98 nt
Filed under: Carlito syrichta (Philippine tarsier)
Lineage: Eukaryota; Metazoa; Chordata; Mammalia; Primates; Tarsiidae
Description: Y RNA (ENSTSYG00000026472.1)
Rfam family: Y RNA
About the family: Y RNAs are components of the Ro ribonucleoprotein particle (Ro RNP), in association with Ro60 and La proteins. The Y RNAs and Ro60 and La proteins are well conserved, but the function of the Ro RNP is not known.
Source: Rfam by way of RNAcentral
GGCUGGUCUGAGUGCAUUGGUGUUGACAACUGAUCACACCCAGUUACAGAUUUCUUUGUUCCUUCUCCACUCCUACUGCUUCACUUGACUAGCCUUAA